ACUCAAAGGAAUUGACGGGGGCCCGCACAAGCGGCGGAGCAUGUUGCUUAAUUCGAUGCAACGCGAAGAACCUUACCUAGGCUUGACAUGCAGGGAAAAGCCGUGGAAACACGGUGUCCUUCGGGGUCCUGCACAGGUGGUGCAUGGCUGUCGUCAGCUCGUGUCGUGAGAUGUUGGGUUAAGUCCCGCAACGAGCGCAACCCUUGUCCUAUGUUGCCAGCGGGUAAUGCCGGGGACUCGUAGGAGACUGCCGGGGUCAACUCGGAGGAAGGUGGGGACGACGUCAAGUCAUCAUGCCCCUUAUGCCUAGGGCUGCAAACAUGCUACAAUGGCCAGUACAGAGGGCUGCAAACCCGCGAGGGGGAGCGAAUCCCAAAAAGCUGGUCUCAGUUCGGAUCGUAGUCUGCAACUCGACUGCGUGAAGGUGGAGUCGCUAGUAAUCGCAGAUCAGCAUUGCUGCGGUGAAUACGUUCCCGGGCCUUGUACACACCGCCCGU
This 497-nucleotide ribosomal RNA is filed under the name uncultured bacterium. RNAcentral's name for it is "partial 16S ribosomal RNA". It matches the Rfam family "Bacterial small subunit ribosomal RNA", at positions 899 to 1397 of the family's 1533-position model. The record is from RNAcentral.